UUCAUAAAUAUUUUAAACUUGGGAGACUAACUUUGACGUUUCUAAAGCCUCACGAGGCCGUAUUUUUCCAUUCAAAACUUAACAACAAUACUAAUUGCUCUCGAAGAUUUUCUGUAAUUUCUGCAAAAAGGUUCUUCUUAAGCUUUGAAGUGGUGAUUGUAGAGGAGUCAAUAAAGGAUGCAGGUAUACAACAAUAGAUUAUUUGUCAAAUUAAUUAGUACGGUUAAUUAUGUCUUGAAUUUUUCCCUUGUAUAUUUUAGGAAACUCAUAAUUCCUAUUAGUUUAGGAGACCCUUUAUCCUAAUAGAUUUGAGAAAGGAAUAUAUUGUCCUUAUAAGAUUGGAAAAACCUUUUCCUUAUAGGUUUAGGACUACUUGAGAUCUAUCAUUAGUCGUGUCAAUAACAAUUGCGAGAAAGAUAAUUUUAAUAUUCCACGUUCAACGUGUGAGUAGGCAAAUAAUCGAACACCACUGCAUGCCAAAUUUCUUUAAAAGUUUUCACACAAAUCUUGGCAAGGUACUCUUCCUAAUAUCUCAACAACUACUUUUUUGGUAUAGAAAUAUUGAUAUGUUGUCUUUGAGAAGUGCAUUCUUUCUUCCUUUCUAUCUAAAGUCCCCUACUAAUCAAGAAACGAAACAUUGAAAUCAAUAUUCAUAAUAAAGUGAAUUUUGAAGAUGUUUUCCUUCUCCACCUCUCAUUCUGAACCAGUAUAGUAGCGCCUCUUUCUCACAAUGGAUCGAUUAGAAGGACCCACUGGUUCAGACACUGCAAGAAGGAGAUAAAAAAUAAUUAGAGUGAAAUCAUGAAAUUAAAAUACGUUCAUUCAUAAACUAAAAAGAAAUAUAUACAUACCUUCCUCAUUGAUGGUAAUAAAAAGCUUGUACUUCGAGCCAAACACUUUCCAUUGAAAAGAUAGGCCAAUAAUUGCAUGAGUCAGAAAUUUGCACUCCAACGUUGGCCAAUAUAGCAAUAAUCUGAUUCCUUGCCCAGUGGCAAUCAACAAACUUGGGCAAGUAGUCAUAUUACCAAGUCCAAGCAACUUUGAACUCGUCAAAGUCACUGACAUGCCUACACGAUAGAACUCUGGUGAGUUUAAAAAGCUCUUAGGAGGACUAUUUUGCUUUAAGGUGGAAGUAUGUCCACCAUUAAUUUCUAGCAUGUGACCUUUUGCGGAUUUAGUCAGCAUUGUGGUAAACCAAGGGAUGGGAAGAUGGGUCACCGGAAAAAAACGGUGCUCAUCAGAUGGGUCCCAUAAAUACAUCCAUCUGUAAUCAUCACCCACCUGGGCUGCUUGUGGAAACACUGACACCUGCUGACCAUCAGCUACAUGGGCUGCUUGUUGAAGUCUUGGCGCUGCUUGUUGAAGCGGAGGAGCAUAUGUUCGGGCUGGUUGUUGAAAGCGAGGAGCAUACAUUGGGGUUGGUUGUUGAAGUCUUGGCGCCGCUUGUUGAAGCGGAGGAGCAUAUGUUGGGGCUGGUUGUUGAAAGCGAGGAGCAUACAUUGGGGUUGGUUGUUGAAGCCGAGGAGCAUACAUUGGGGUUGGUUGUUGAAGCCUUGGGGCUGGUUGUUGAAACCGAGGAGCAUAUACUGGGCCUUCCUACUGAUUUUCAACAAGCAGGCCCAGUAUAUGCUCCUCGGUUUCAACAACCAGCCCUAAGGCUUCAACAACCAACCCCAAUGUAUGCUCCUCGGCUUCAACAACCAACCCCAAUGUAUGCUCCUCGCUUUCAACAACCAGCCCCAACAUAUGCUCCUCCGCUUCAACAAGCAGCGCCAAGACUUCAACAACCAACCCCAAUGUAUGCUCCUCGCUUUCAACAACCAGCCCGAACAUAUGCUCCUCCGCUUCAACAAGCAGCGCCAAGACUUCAACAAGCAGCCCAUGUAGCUGAUGGUCAGCAGGUGUCAGUGUUUCCACAAGCAGCCCAGGUGGGUGAUGAUUACAGAUGGAUGUAUUUAUGGGACCCAUCUGAUGAGCACCGUUUUUUUCCGGUGACCCAUCUUCCCAUCCCUUGGUUUACCACAAUGCUGACUAAAUCCGCAAAAGGUCACAUGCUAGAAAUUAAUGGUGGACAUACUUCCACCUUAAAGCAAAAUAGUCCUCCUAAGAGCUUUUUAAACUCACCAGAGUUCUAUCGUGUAGGCAUGUCAGUGACUUUGACGAGUUCAAAGUUGCUUGGACUUGGUAAUAUGACUACUUGCCCAAGUUUGUUGAUUGCCACUGGGCAAGGAAUCAGAUUAUUGCUAUAUUGGCCAACGUUGGAGUGCAAAUUUCUGACUCAUGCAAUUAUUGACCUAUCUUUUCAAUGGAAAGUGUUUGGCUCGAAGUACAAGCUUUUUAUUACCAUCAAUGAGGAAGGUAUGUAUAUAUUUCUUUUUAGUUUAUGAAUGAACGUAUUUUAAUUUCAUGAUUUCACUCUAAUUAUUUUUUAUCUCCUUCUUGCAGUGUCUGAACCAGUGGGUCCUUCUAAUCGAUCCAUUGUGAGAAAGAGGCGCUACUAUACUGGUUCAGAAUGAGAGGUGGAGAAGGAAAACAUCUUCAAAAUUCACUCUAUUAUGAAUAUUGAUUUCAAUGUUUCGUUUCUUGAUUAGUAGGGGACUUUAGAUAGAAAGGAAGAAAGAAUGCACUUCUCAAAGACAACAUAUCAAUAUUUCUAUACCAAAAAAGUAGUUGUUGAGAUAUUAGGAAGAGUACCUUGCCAAGAUUUGUGUGAAAACUUUAAAGAAAUUUGGCAUGCAGUGGUGUUCGAUUAUUUGCCUACUCACACGUUGAACGUGGAAUAUUAAAAUUAUCUUUCUCGCAAUUGUUAUUGACACGACUAAUGAUAGAUCUCAAGUAGUCCUAAACCUAUAAGGAAAAGGUUUUUCCAAUCCUAUAAGGACAAUAUAUUCCUUUCUCAAAUCUAUUAGGAUAAAGGGUCUCCUAAACCAAUAGGGAUUAUGAGUUCCCUAAAAUAUACAAGGGAAAAAUUCAAGGGUCGGGUAAAGCAAGAAAGGAAAGGUAGACCAGGCUUCAAGGGCAAGGCUUUUCAAGGAGUACAAAGAAGUACAGAGAGAGAAAACAGCUGAUCCUGAUAUUCAAUUAGUUUGUGAUGAUUCUAAUAUCUUUAAAUGGACGGCUCUUAUAAAAGGGCCAUCUGAA
This is an RNA transcript of Solanum dulcamara, 3141 nucleotides long. It is a transcript of the gene named protein PEROXIN-4, with no coding region annotated. The transcript has 5 exons. The record is from RefSeq and is a predicted model, not a curated record. Lineage: Eukaryota; Viridiplantae; Streptophyta; Magnoliopsida; Solanales; Solanaceae.